CCUACGGGAGGCAGCAGUGAGGAAUAUUGGUCAAUGGACGAGAGUCUGAACCAGCCAAGUAGCGUGAAGGAUGACUGCCCUAUGGGUUGUAAACUUCUUUUAUAUGGGAAUGAAAUGUUCCACGUGUGGGAUUUUGUAUGUACCAUAUGAAUAAGGAUCGGCUAACUCCGUGCCAGCAGCCGCGGUAAUACGGAGGAUCCGAGCGUUAUCCGGAUUUAUUGGGUUUAAAGGGAGCGUAGGUGGAUUGUUAAGUCAGUUGUGAAAGUUUGCGGCUCAACCGUAAAAUUGCAGUUGAAACUGGCAGUCUUGAGUACAGUAGAGGUGGGCGGAAUUCGUGGUGUAGCGGUGAAAUGCUUAGAUAUCACGAAGAACUCCGAUUGCGAAGGCAGUUCACUGGACUGCAACUGACACUGAGGCUCGAAAGUGUGGGUAUCAAACAGGAUUAGAUACCCGAGUAGUC
RNAcentral lists this ribosomal RNA (460 nucleotides) under uncultured bacterium. RNAcentral's name for it is "partial 16S ribosomal RNA". It matches the Rfam family "Bacterial small subunit ribosomal RNA", at positions 338 to 795 of the family's 1533-position model. The record is from RNAcentral.